Molecule: transfer RNA, 75 nt
Filed under: Camelus bactrianus (Bactrian camel)
Lineage: Eukaryota; Metazoa; Chordata; Mammalia; Artiodactyla; Camelidae
Also listed under: 2 other names
Rfam family: tRNA
About the family: Transfer RNA (tRNA) molecules are approximately 80 nucleotides in length. Their secondary structure includes four short double-helical elements and three loops (D, anti-codon, and T loops).
Source: Rfam by way of RNAcentral
GAGGAUAUAGCUCAGUGCACAUAGAGCACAUGCUUAGCACACACGAGGUCCUGGGUUCAAUCCCCAGUGCCUCCA